CUCAUCUGGCCCACGCCGUACAAGGCGCGCUUCACCUCCUCGCCCACCACCACCUCUCCGGCCUUGGACAACUCUGACAAGACACCACGGAAAAGUCUGCUUUGGAUGGAACCACUAACAGGGCCGUACUGAUGAACUAAGAGGAGCUUACGCCAAAACCUUCCCGGACUGGGGUUGACGUUCCCUGCUGUCAUGUCAAAGCCAAAAGCGGCCUCAUUGAAAGCAAUGGCAACACACAGGUUGGAGGAAAAGAUGCCUUACCGCCCUGAAGAUCCGCUGACAGCGGAACGAAGAAA
This is a long non-coding RNA of Hippocampus comes (tiger tail seahorse), 296 nucleotides long. RefSeq lists it as uncharacterized. NCBI's taxonomy places the organism in Eukaryota, Metazoa, Chordata, Actinopteri, Syngnathiformes, Syngnathidae. The transcript is spliced from 3 exons. The record is from RefSeq and is a predicted model, not a curated record.